GUCCUGGUGCCAGCAGCCGCGGUAAUACGGAGGAUGCAAGCGUUAUCCGGAUUUAUUGGGCGUAAAGCGUCCGCAGGUGGCUUUUCAAGUCUGCUGUCAAAUACCAGAGCUCAACUCUGGACAGGCGGUGGAAACUGGGAAGCUAGAGUACGGUAGGGGUAGAGGGAAUUUCCAGUGUAGCGGUGAAAUGCGUAGAGAUUGGAAAGAACACCAGUGGCGAAGGCGCUCUACUGGACCGUAACUGACACUCAGGGACGAAAGCUAGGGGAGCGAAAGGGAUUAGAUACCCCUGUAGUCCUAGCUGUAAACGAUGGAUACUAGGCGUUGCUUGUAUCGACCCGAGCAGUGCCGAAGCCAACGCGUUAAGUAUCCCGCCUGGGGAGUACGCACGCAAGUGUGAAACUCAAAGGAAUUGACGGGGGCCCGCACAAGCGGUGGAGUAUGUGGUUUAAUUCGAUGCAACGCGAAGAACCUUACCAGGACUUGACAUGUCGCGAAUCUCCUUGAAAGAGGAGAGUGCCUUAGGGAGCGCGAACACAGGUGGUGCAUGGCCGUUCUU
This 559-nucleotide ribosomal RNA is filed under the name uncultured bacterium. RNAcentral's name for it is "bacterial SSU rRNA". It matches the Rfam family "Bacterial small subunit ribosomal RNA", at positions 499 to 1056 of the family's 1533-position model. The record is from RNAcentral.